UAUUCCCCACUGCUGCCUCCCGUAGGAGUUUGGACCGUGUCUCAGUUCCAAUGUGGGGGAUUUUCCUCUCAGAACCCCUACCCAUCGUCGGUUUGGUGGGCCGUUACCCCGCCAACUGCCUAAUGGGACGCAUGCCCACCCGCAAUCAAUAAAUUUUUACUUGCCAUACCAUGCGGUCCGGCAAGGCCAUCAGGUAUUAAUCUUCCUUUCGGAAGGCUAUCCCCGUUUUGCGGAGAGGUUGCAUACGCGUUACUCACCCAUUCGCCGGUCGCCGACACCGUAUUGCUACGGCUCGCUGCCCCUCGACUUGCAUGUGUUAGGCCUGCCGCCAGCGUUCAUCCUGAGCCAA
This 349-nucleotide ribosomal RNA is filed under the name uncultured rumen bacterium. Its description in RNAcentral is "partial 16S ribosomal RNA". The record is from RNAcentral.